ACGGAAGGCAGCAGUCGGGAAUAUUGCGCAAUGGAGGAAACUCUGACGCAGUGACGCCGCGUAUAGGAAGAAGGUUUUCGGAUUGUAAACUAUUGUCGUUAGGGAAGAUACAAGACAGUACCUAAGGAGGAAGCACCGGCUAACUAUGUGCCAGCAGCCGCGGUAAUACAUAGGGUGCAAGCGUUAUCCGGAAUUAUUGGGUGUAAAGGGUGCGUAGACGGGAUGACAAGUUGGUUGUGAAAUCCCUCAGCUCAACUGAGGAACUGCAACCAAAACUAUCAUUCUUGAGUGUCGGAGAGGAAAGUGGAAUUCCUAGUGUAGCGGUGAAAUGCGUAGAUAUUAGGAGGAACACCAGUGGCGAAGGCGACUUUCUGGACGAUAACUGACGUUGAGGCACGAAAGUGUGGGGAGCAAACAGGAUUAGAUACCCUGGUA
Molecule: ribosomal RNA, 435 nt
Filed under: uncultured Oscillospiraceae bacterium
Lineage: Bacteria; Bacillati; Bacillota; Clostridia; Eubacteriales; Oscillospiraceae
Description: bacterial SSU rRNA
Rfam family: Bacterial small subunit ribosomal RNA
Source: RNAcentral